RNAcentral lists this ribosomal RNA (495 nucleotides) under Halomonas sp. H2. RNAcentral describes it as "bacterial SSU rRNA". It matches the Rfam family "Bacterial small subunit ribosomal RNA", at positions 36 to 523 of the family's 1533-position model. RNAcentral also lists the same sequence under 1 other name. Lineage: Bacteria; Pseudomonadati; Pseudomonadota; Gammaproteobacteria; Oceanospirillales; Halomonadaceae. The record is from RNAcentral.
CUGGCGGCAGGCCUAACACAUGCAAGUCGAGCGGAAACGAUCCUAGCUUGCUAGGAGGCGUCGAGCGGCGGACGGGUGAGUAAUGCAUAGGAAUCUGCCCGGUAGUGGGGGAUAACUUGAGGAAACUCAAGCUAAUACCGCAUACGCCUACGGGGGAAAGCAGGGGCUCUUCGGACCUUGCGCUAUCGGAUGAGCUUAUGUCGGAUUAGCUGGUUGGUGAGGUAACGGCUCACCAAGGCGACGAUCCGUAGCUGGUCUGAGAGGAUGAUCAGCCACAGCGGGACUGAGACACGGCCCGAACUCCUACGGGAGGCAGCAGUGGGGAAUAGUGGACAAUGGGGGCAACCCUGAUCCAGCCAUGCCGCGUGUGUGAAGAAGGCCCUCGGGUUGUAAAGCACUUUCAGCGAGGAAGAAUGCUUGUCGGUUAAUACCCGGCAAGGGAGACAUCACUCGCAGAAGAAGCACCGGCUAACUCCGUGCCAGCAGCCGCGGUAA